CCUACGGGGGGCAGCAGUGAGGAAUAUUGGUCAAUGGACGCAAGUCUGAACCAGCCAUGCCGCGUGCAGGAUGACGGCUCUAUGAGUUGUAAACUGCUUUUGUACGAGGGUAAACCCCGAUACGUGUCUCGGGUUGAAAGUAUCUUACGAAUAAGGAUCGGCUAACUCCGUGCCAGCAGCCGCGGUAAUACGGAGGAUCCGAGCGUUAUCCGGAUUUAUUGGGUUUAAAGGGUGCGUAGGCGGUUUGAUAAGUUAGAGGUGAAAUGUCGGGGCUCAACCCCGAAACCGCCUCUAAUACUGGUGGACUCGAGAAUAGUUGAGGUAGGCGGAAUGUAUGGUGUAGCGGUGAAAUGCUUAGAGAUCAUACAGAACACCGAUUGCGAAGGCAGCUUACCAA
RNAcentral lists this ribosomal RNA (397 nucleotides) under uncultured bacterium. RNAcentral's name for it is "partial 16S ribosomal RNA". It matches the Rfam family "Bacterial small subunit ribosomal RNA", at positions 338 to 732 of the family's 1533-position model. The record is from RNAcentral.